RNAcentral lists this ribosomal RNA (229 nucleotides) under uncultured bacterium. RNAcentral describes it as "partial 16S ribosomal RNA". It matches the Rfam family "Bacterial small subunit ribosomal RNA", at positions 568 to 796 of the family's 1533-position model. The record is from RNAcentral.
UGCGUAGGCGGCGCUAUAAGUCAGAGGUGAAAGCCCGCAGCUUAACUGUGGAAUUGCCUUUGAUACUGUUAGACUUGAAUCAGGUUGAGGUUGGCGGAAUGUGGCAUGUAGCGGUGAAAUGCAUAGAUAUGCCAUAGAACACCAAUUGCGAAGGCAGCUGACUAGACCUGUAUUGACGCUGAGGCACGAAAGCGUGGGGAGCGAACAGGAUUAGAUACCCUGGUAGUCC